CUACGGGACGCUCCAGUGGGGAAUAUUGCACAAUGGGGGAAACCCUGAUGCAGCAACGCCGCGUGGAGGAUGACGCAUUUCGGUGUGUAAACUCCUUUUAUAUCCCAAGAUAAUGACGGUAGGAUAUGAAUAAGCACCGGCUAACUCCGUGCCAGCAGCCGCGGUAAUACGGAGGGUGCAAGCGUUACUCGGAAUCACUGGGCGUAAAGGGCGCGUAGGCGGGUUGUCAAGUCUUGAGUGAAAUCCAACGGCUCAACCGUUGAACUGCUUGAGAAACUGGCAGCCUAGAGUAAGGGAGAGGUAGAUGGAAUUGGUGGUGUAGGGGUAAAAUCCGUAGAGAUCACCAGGAAUACCCAUUGCGAAGGCGAUCUGCUGGAACUUUGCUGACGCUGAGGCGCGAAAGCGUGGGGAGCAAACAGGAUUAGAUACCCCAGUAGUC
Molecule: ribosomal RNA, 439 nt
Filed under: uncultured bacterium
Lineage: Bacteria
Description: partial 16S ribosomal RNA
Rfam family: Bacterial small subunit ribosomal RNA
Source: RNAcentral